GGGCGUAAAAGUGUGCGUAGGCGGGGUCUUUAAGUCAGAGGUGAAAAUCCUGGAGCUCAACUCCAGAAACUGCCUUUGAUACUGAGGAUCUUGAGUUCGGGGAGGAGGUGAGUGGAACUGCGAGUGUAGAGGUGAAAUUCGUAGAUAUUCGCAAGAACACCAGUGGCGAAGGCGGCUCACUGGCCCGAUACUGACGCUGAGGCACGAAAAGCGUGGGGGAGCAAAACAGGAUUAGAUACCCUGGUAGUCCACGCCGUAAACGAUGAAUGCCAGCCGUUAGUGGGUUUACUCACUAGUGGCGCAGCUAACGCUUUAAGCAUUCCGCCUGGGGAGUACGGUCGCAAGAUUAAAAACU
This 355-nucleotide ribosomal RNA is filed under the name uncultured bacterium. RNAcentral describes it as "bacterial SSU rRNA". It matches the Rfam family "Bacterial small subunit ribosomal RNA", at positions 556 to 901 of the family's 1533-position model. The record is from RNAcentral.